RNAcentral lists this ribosomal RNA (491 nucleotides) under uncultured bacterium. RNAcentral's name for it is "partial 16S ribosomal RNA". It matches the Rfam family "Bacterial small subunit ribosomal RNA", at positions 29 to 506 of the family's 1533-position model. The record is from RNAcentral.
AGUGAACGCUGGCGGUAGGCCUAACACAUGCAAGUCGAACGGCAGCACAGUAAGAGCUUGCUCUUACGGGUGGCGAGUGGCGGACGGGUGAGGAAUACAUCGGAAUCUACUUUUUCGUGGGGGAUAACGUAGGGAAACUUACGCUAAUACCGCAUACGACCUACGGGUGAAAGCAGGGGAUCUUCGGACCUUGCGCGAUUGAAUGAGCCGAUGUCGGAUUAGCUAGUUGGCGGGGUAAAGGCCCACCAAGGCGACGAUCCGUAGCUGGUCUGAGAGGAUGAUCAGCCACACUGGAACUGAGACACGGUCCAGACUCCGACGGGAGGCAGCAGUGGGGAAUAUUGGACAAUGGGCGCAAGCCUGAUUCAGCCAUACCGCGUGGGUGAAGUAGGCCUUCGGGUUGUAAAGCCCUUUUGUUGGGAAAGAAAAGCAGCAGGUUAAUACCCCGCUGUUCUGACGGUACCCAAAGAAUAAGCACCGGCUAACUGCGU